GACGAACGCUGGCGGCGUGCUUAACACAUGCAAGUCGAACGGAAAGGCCCUGCUUUUGUGGGGUGCUCGAGUGGCGGACGGGUGAGUAACACGUGAGUAACCUGCCCUUGACUUUGGGAUAACUUCAGGAAACUGGGGCUAAUACCGGAUAGGAGCUCCUGCUGCAUGGUGGGGGUUGGAAAGUUUCGGCGGUUGGGGAUGGACUCGCGGCUUAUCAGCUUGUUGGUGGGGUAGUGGCUUACCAAGGCUUUGACGGGUAGCCGGCCUGAGAGGGUGACCGGCGACAUUGGGACUGGGAUACGGCCCAGACUGCUACGGGAGGCAGCGGUGGGGAAUGUUGCACAAGGGGCGGAAGCCUGAUGCAGCAACGCCGCGGGCGGGAUGACGGCCCUCGGGUUGUAAACCGCUUUCGCGUGUGACGAAGCGGGAGUGACGGGAAUGGGUAAAGAAGCAGCGGCGAAGUACGUG
RNAcentral lists this ribosomal RNA (468 nucleotides) under uncultured bacterium. Its description in RNAcentral is "partial 16S ribosomal RNA". It matches the Rfam family "Bacterial small subunit ribosomal RNA", at positions 28 to 507 of the family's 1533-position model. The record is from RNAcentral.